Molecule: long non-coding RNA, 869 nt
Organism: Strigops habroptila (Kakapo)
Lineage: Eukaryota; Metazoa; Chordata; Aves; Psittaciformes; Psittacidae
Exons: 2
Source: RefSeq, a predicted model, not a curated record
GCUGCCGUCCCCCGACGGUGCGGCCGCGCAGUCCUUGUCGGGCAGGCGCUGGAGCCGCCCGCUCCCGCUUCUUUGGCUGGGGUAGAAGGGCUCUGCCGUCUGGUCGCAGGUGCCGGGGGGCGGCUCGGAGGGGGCGGCUGCAGCGGAGGGCAGCUCCUUGCGGGCGAUCUCCUCGGGGUCCAUGGGCUCCCCGCUGCACGUCGUGGGGUGGGAGUUGUGAGCCGGCCGCCCCGGGCCCUUCUUCGUGUUCUCUUUCUUUCUCCAUUUGGCCCGGCGGUUUUGGAACCAGACCUACACACCGAACAACGAGAAGCAAUUAACACCCAGCGCACCGGCCCCCCGCGGUGGCCGGGGGGCGAAGGGAUUGAAGCGAAGAUCAGGCCUCCCCCUCCAACCCUCGAGGUGCCGGCAGCCCCCAUCCACAGGACCGAGCAUCUGCGAGGCGGAGAGCAAGGGAGGGGACAGGAAGAGAUAUCCACACUUCUUUAACAGGGUAGAAAAAUAAAAGCAAGAGGAGCAGGAUGCACACUCACGCACACACACGCUGCGUCCUGCCCGCACCAGUGCCGCGGGGAGGGGAAGGGGUAGCACCCCCCAGCUCUUCCCGGCAGCCCAGGGGUGCAGAAGUCCCCGCCAGAGCCUCGGCCUGCGCGGCCUGGCCCCAUUCCUCCGUAGCAGCGCGCAAACCGCAAUAAAACCGCAGCACAAUGAGCGGGCCAAAGGUAGGGGGGUGUCGCCUCGCCCGGGAGGAGCGAGGCCUGGGCCCCCUGCCCGUUCCGGGCACCAGAGCAGAGCGGUUGAAUCAGCCCGAGAUCGGGUUUGUUAUAACAUUAUGGGGGAAAUGAAAAAUAAAUUUUAAUUAAAUCCUC